GACGAAGGAUGCAAGCGUUAUCCGGAUUCAUUGGGUUUAAAGGGAGCGUAGGCGGUCUUAUAAGUCAGUGGUGAAAUCUCCUCGCUUAACGAGGAAAUUGCCAUUGAUACUGUAGGACUUGAGUACAGUUGCCGUUGGCGGAAUAUGACAUGUAGUGGUGAAAUACAUAGAGAUGUCAUAGAACACCGAUUGCGAAGGCAGCUAACGAAGCUGUAACUGACGCUGAGGCUCGAAAGUGCGGGGAUCAAACAGG
This 253-nucleotide ribosomal RNA is filed under the name uncultured bacterium. Its description in RNAcentral is "partial 16S ribosomal RNA". It matches the Rfam family "Bacterial small subunit ribosomal RNA", at positions 524 to 776 of the family's 1533-position model. The record is from RNAcentral.